GCCGUGGUGGAGAGACACGUGAGUUGCGUCCACCGUGCAGUACAGUGCCUCCAGUCUUGGGGGUUUGAUUGCUGCCGCACCCUCUCAGGGAUCAACUGCCUGAUUUUAAGCGAAGAGUUGAGACGCCUGCCUAGCUGCUGUCUUGUCUUGCCUUGUUUUAUCUUGUGUUCCGAUCUGUUGGCUGUCCAAUUUUGUUCCUGCUGCUUGUCUCGCCUCGCCCCUGGGGGCUUUGGGUCUCACGCUAAGCCCCUUUUGGACUAUCGUUUCACUCCAGCUUUCGCGGCUGGUCGGGGCGAUCCUCAGCUGCAUAUUGGGCUGGUGUUA
Long non-coding RNA from Oreochromis niloticus (Nile tilapia), 324 nucleotides. RefSeq lists it as uncharacterized. The record is from RefSeq and is a predicted model, not a curated record. Lineage: Eukaryota; Metazoa; Chordata; Actinopteri; Cichliformes; Cichlidae. The transcript has 2 exons.